UACGUAGGGUGCGAGCGUUGUCCGGAAUUAUUGGGCGUAAAGAGCUCGUAGGCGGUCUGUCGCGUCGAUCGUGAAAACUUGGGGCUUAACCCUGAGCUUGCGGUCGAUACGGGCAUGACUGGAGUUCGGCAGGGGGAGACUGGAAUUCCUGGUGUAGCGGUGAAAUGCGCAGAUAUCAGGAGGAACACCGGUGGCGAAGGCGGGUCUCUGGGCCGAUACUGACGCUGAGGAGCGAAAGCGUGGGGAGCGAACAGG
RNAcentral lists this ribosomal RNA (255 nucleotides) under uncultured bacterium. RNAcentral describes it as "partial 16S ribosomal RNA". It matches the Rfam family "Bacterial small subunit ribosomal RNA", at positions 524 to 776 of the family's 1533-position model. The record is from RNAcentral.